RNAcentral lists this ribosomal RNA (300 nucleotides) under uncultured Colwelliaceae bacterium. RNAcentral describes it as "bacterial SSU rRNA". It matches the Rfam family "Bacterial small subunit ribosomal RNA", at positions 115 to 419 of the family's 1533-position model. The record is from RNAcentral. Lineage: Bacteria; Pseudomonadati; Pseudomonadota; Gammaproteobacteria; Alteromonadales; Colwelliaceae.
GCUUGGGAAUAUGCCUUGAGGUGGGGACAACAGUUGGAAACGACUGCUAAUACCGCAUAAUGUCUACGGACCAAAGGAGGGGAUCUUCGGACCUUUCGCCUUUAGAUUAGCCCAAGUGAGAUUAGCUAGAUGGUGGGGUAAAGGCCUACCAAGGCGACGAUCUUUAGCUGGUCUGAGAGAAUGAUCAGCCACACUGGAACUGAGACACGGUCCAGACUCCUACGGGAGGCAGCAGUGGGGAAUAUUGCACAAUGGGCGAAAGCCUGAUGCAGCCAUGCCGCGUGUGUGAAGAAGGCUCUA